This 1070-nucleotide ribosomal RNA is filed under the name Bacillus sp. NCCP-1233. Its description in RNAcentral is "bacterial SSU rRNA". It matches the Rfam family "Bacterial small subunit ribosomal RNA", at positions 32 to 1090 of the family's 1533-position model. The record is from RNAcentral. Lineage: Bacteria; Bacillati; Bacillota; Bacilli; Caryophanales; Bacillaceae.
GGCAGUGGCGGCAUACUAUACAUGCAAGUCGAGCGGACAGAUGGGAGCUUGCUCCCUGAUGUUAGCGGCGGACGGGUGAGUAACACGUGGGUAACCUGCCUGUAAGACUGGGAUAACUCCGGGAAACCGGGGCUAAUACCGGAUGGUUGUUUGAACCGCAUGGUUCAAACAUAAAAGGUGGCUUCGGCUACCACUUACAGAUGGACCCGCGGCGCAUUAGCUAGUUGGUGAGGUAACGGCUCACCAAGGCAACGAUGCGUAGCCGACCUGAGAGGGUGAUCGGCCACACUGGGACUGAGACACGGCCCAGACUCCUACGGGAGGCAGCAGUAGGGAAUCUUCCGCAAUGGACGAAAGUCUGACGGAGCAACGCCGCGUGAGUGAUGAAGGUUUUCGGAUCGUAAAGCUCUGUUGUUAGGGAAGAACAAGUACCGUUCGAAUAGGGCGGUACCUUGACGGUACCUAACCAGAAAGCCACGGCUAACUACGUGCCAGCAGCCGCGGUAAUACGUAGGUGGCAAGCGUUGUCCGGAAUUAUUGGGCGUAAAGGGCUCGCAGGCGGUUUCUUAAGUCUGAUGUGAAAGCCCCCGGCUCAACCGGGGAGGGUCAUUGGAAACUGGGGAACUUGAGUGCAGAAGAGGAGAGUGGAAUUCCACGUGUAGCGGUGAAAUGCGUAGAGAUGUGGAGGAACACCAGUGGCGAAGGCGACUCUCUGGUCUGUAACUGACGCUGAGGAGCGAAAGCGUGGGGAGCGAACAGGAUUAGAUACCCUGGUAGUCCACGCCGUAAACGAUGAGUGCUAAGUGUUAGGGGGUUUCCGCCCCUUAGUGCUGCAGCUAACGCAUUAAGCACUCCGCCUGGGGAGUACGGUCGCAAGACUGAAACUCAAAGGAAUUGACGGGGGCCCGCACAAGCGCUGGAGCAUGUGAUUUAAUUCGAAGCAACGCGAAGAACCUUUACCAGGUCUUGACAUCCUCUGACAAUCCUACAGAUAGGACGUCCCCUUCGGGGCAGAGUGACAUGUGUGGCAUGGUGUCGUCACUCUGUCUUGAAAUGUUGGUUAAUUCCGC